UGAGCGGUAGGAUUCGAACCUGCGGAAACUAAUGGAUUUCAGGUCCAUCGCCUUAACCAUCGGCCACGACUGC
Araneus ventricosus is the source of this 73-nucleotide non-coding RNA. The record is from the annotation of a GenBank genome assembly. Lineage: Eukaryota; Metazoa; Arthropoda; Arachnida; Araneae; Araneidae.